RNAcentral lists this unclassified non-coding RNA (400 nucleotides) under uncultured Actinomycetes bacterium. Its description in RNAcentral is "uncultured actinobacterium contains 16S-23S intergenic spacer region". It matches the Rfam family "Bacterial small subunit ribosomal RNA", at positions 772 to 1172 of the family's 1533-position model. Lineage: Bacteria; Bacillati; Actinomycetota; Actinomycetes. The record is from RNAcentral.
UCCGGAUUAGAUACCCUGGUAGUCCACGCCGUAAACGAUGGGUACUAGGUGCCUGGGGGAGCGACCCUCUGGGUGCCGGCGCUAACGCAGGAAGUACCCCGCCUGGGGAGUACGACCGCAAGGUUGAAACUCAAAGGAAUUGACGGGGGCCCGCACAAGCGGCGGAGCAUGUGGCUUAAUUCGACGCGACGCGAAGAACCUUACCAGGGCUUGACAUGCGGGGUGAAGCCGUGGAAACACGGUCCUCCUUCGGGAGCCCGCACAGGUGCUGCAUGGCUGUCGUCAGCCCGUGCCGUGAGGUGUUGCCUUAAGUGGCGCAACGAGCGCAACCCCUAUCCCAUGUUGCCAGCGAGUUAUGUCGGGGACUCAUGGGAGACUGCCGGUGCCAAACCGGAGGAAG